UGCUUAAAACAUUUCAGUCAUUUUAUAGGGUUUUCUAGAGAGCUCGAGCAAAGGCGAUUUUGUGGCGAUUCUGUUGUGUGUGCUUGUUUGGCUGAAAUCCACCAAGCCGACCACUGUUCUUUGCUCUUUUGUUGUCUCUGUCGAAGAAUAAGGCACGAAUCAGAGAAUUUGAAGUGAUUAUGGCUCAAAAAUGGAUCGUCGUAUAAGAUGAUUUUUGCCGGACAUUCUUUGGGGUCUGGUGUCGCCGCCUUUUUGACGGUGAUCGUGGUGAACCACGGUGACCUACUCGGUGAGGUUCCAAGGAGUCAUGUGCGGUGUUAUGCGAUUGCACGUCGCUCAAUUUAGCUGUGAAGUAUGCCAAUGUUAUAGACUCUGUGAUCUUGCGGUAUCACAGAGACUGUUUUUUCCCCCUUAAAGUGAUGGUGAAGACGAUGAGAUUGUUGAGCAUGUGCCUCCGGCUCAACUUUGAGAAAUGGAUCAGUUGCGUAAUACUAUUUCUGAUCGAAUAUAGAAUUCUCUUGGGCUUUCUUGAUCUUCCUGAAAGUGAUGAUAUGAAGUGUAUUGAUACUCUCUUGAAGGUGAUGUGUGGUGUUAUGAAGAUGAUGUGUCCUACUAUUGAAGCUUGUUCCAUAGAAGUGAAAUUUGUGUUUUUUGAAGUAUGUCUCUUGUAAGAUCUUUUUAGUUUUUCUGAUACCUUCCUAAACAGUUAAGGAAAACAUAAGGAAACAUCUUUUUAUUUGUUAAACAUCUUUUUCUUCAUUUUUGAAUCCUAUUGUUGAAAUUUGUAAACAAUGAAGUGAAUUGUGUUUGAACUUUGAAUUA
Cornus florida is the source of this 822-nucleotide long non-coding RNA. RefSeq lists it as uncharacterized. The transcript is spliced from 3 exons. Lineage: Eukaryota; Viridiplantae; Streptophyta; Magnoliopsida; Cornales; Cornaceae. The record is from RefSeq and is a predicted model, not a curated record.